AGUCGAGGGGUAUGGUUCUUCGGAACCAGAGACCGGCGCACGGGUGCGUAACGCGUAUGCAAUCUGCCUUUCACAGAGGGAUAGCCCAGAGAAAUUUGGAUUAAUACCUCAUAGUAUAGCGACAUCGCAUGAUGAUGCUAUUAAAGUCACAACGGUGAAAGAUGAGCAUGCGUCCCAUUAGCUAGUUGGUAAGGUAACGGCUUACCAAGGCGACGAUGGGUAGGGGUCCUGAGAGGGAGAUCCCCCACACUGGUACUGAGACACGGACCAGACUCCUACGGGAGGCAGCAGUGAGGAAUAUUGGUCAAUGGGCGCAAGCCUGAACCAGCCAUGCCGCGUGCAGGAUGACGGUCCUAUGGAUUGUAAACUGCUUUUGCACAGGAAGAAACACUGAUUCGUGAAUCAGCUUGACGGUACUGUGAGAAUAAGGAUCGGCUAACUCCGUGCCAGCAGCCGCGGUAAUACGGAGGAUCCAAGCGUUAUCCGGAAUCAUUGGGUUUAGAGGGUCCGUAGGCGGUCUGGUAAGUCAGUGGUGAAAGCCCAUCGCUCAACGGUGGAACGGCCAUUGAUACUGCUGGACUUGAAUUAUUAGGAAGUAACUAGAAUAUGUAGUGUAGCGGUGAAAUGCUUAGAGAUUACAUGGAAUACCAAUUGCGAAGGCAGGUUACUACUAAUGGAUUGACGCUGAUGGACGAAAGCGUGGGUAGCGAACAGGAUUAGAUACCCUGGUAGUCCACGCCGUAAACGAUGGAUACUAGCUGUUGGAAGCAAUUUCAGUGGCUAAGCGAAAGUGAUAAGUAUCCCACCU
Molecule: ribosomal RNA, 808 nt
Filed under: uncultured bacterium
Lineage: Bacteria
Description: bacterial SSU rRNA
Rfam family: Bacterial small subunit ribosomal RNA
Source: RNAcentral